GUCGUCAGCUCGUGUCGUGAGAUGUGGUUAAGUCCGCAACGAGCGCAACCCUCGACCUUACGUUGCCAGCAUUCAGUUGGGCACUCUAAGGUGACUGCCGGCUAAAAGUCGGAGGAAGGUGGGGAUGACGUCAAAUCAUCAUGCCCCUUAUGACCUGGGCUACACACGUGCUACAAUGGGCGGUACAAAGGGUCGCGAACCCGCGAGGGGGAGCCAAUCCCAAAAAGCCGCUCUCAGUUCGGAUUGCAGGCUGCAACUCGCCUGCAUGAAGCCGGAAUCGCUAGUAAUCGCGGAUCAGCAUGCCGCGGUGAAUACGUUCCCGGGCCUU
This 328-nucleotide ribosomal RNA is filed under the name uncultured Anoxybacillus sp. Its description in RNAcentral is "bacterial SSU rRNA". It matches the Rfam family "Bacterial small subunit ribosomal RNA", at positions 1051 to 1382 of the family's 1533-position model. Lineage: Bacteria; Bacillati; Bacillota; Bacilli; Caryophanales; Anoxybacillaceae. The record is from RNAcentral.